RNAcentral lists this small RNA (809 nucleotides) under Malus domestica (apple). RNAcentral describes it as "sRNA MD10G0248600". Lineage: Eukaryota; Viridiplantae; Streptophyta; Magnoliopsida; Rosales; Rosaceae. The record is from RNAcentral.
ACAAUUGCACGCUUGAACAGUUAACCUCUUCAGCCUAAAUCUCAUCCUUUUUCUUUAAUAUGCUCGUACAAAAAAAUAUAACAUAAACGGUGGAGUGGGACUUCGUUCCCCAUCAGGACUUUGUUCUGCCAUUGGAGAGGACGAUAUUCAACAGCAAGGCUGCAAGCCAGCAAAAGUCCCUCCCGCGCUACCGCCAUCCAGCCAUCUGAACACCAUGCGUCGUCGCCCUCACGGCUCCACGCUUUCGUCAGCCAUCACCGGCCAUCGUCAAUUUUUUGUGGGCAGUUUAAUUAUGUAAAUUGUAGGUUUCAACAACUGCUGGUGCAAAACGUGUGAAGAAAGGCUCAUUAGUCCCAUAGAUUUCUGCAUUAAGUAGUCAGACAAAUAAGGAGUCUGAGGCCUCAUCCAAAUCAAGUGCCUUUGCCCCUGCUACUAGUCAAUCCUCCGUUCAUGCAGAUCCUAUGCAAGUGGGAGUCUCUCCUGCGUCAAGGGAGAAGGAUAUUUGUUGUUGGUGAUCUUAUGCUCAACCAGAUUGUGAGAAGAACCAGAUUUUAAAUUAAGUGAACUUACAGUUUUAUUAGUAGGAAAGCUCUAUACAUUAUAUUGUCUUUUGUAAUACUUCGAUGGUGGAUAAAUUUCAAAUUUAUGAAGCAAUAUUGUUUCAUUUGAGGUCAAUAUCUUGCUCUUUGGAUGAAUUAUGUAGGUCAUGCUUUCAAAUUAAAAAUACAUUAUAUAUGUCAUCAAACAUAUUUCAGGACAUGUAUUGAACGGUUUAUGACACGCUUUGCGUGUCAUUGCUAAUAUUCAAU